RNAcentral lists this ribosomal RNA (480 nucleotides) under uncultured bacterium. Its description in RNAcentral is "partial 16S ribosomal RNA". It matches the Rfam family "Bacterial small subunit ribosomal RNA", at positions 28 to 507 of the family's 1533-position model. The record is from RNAcentral.
GACGAACGCUGGCGGCGUGCUUAACACAUGCAAGUCGAACGGAAAGGCCUGCUUUCCCUUGUGGAUUGCGGGUACUCGCGUGGCGAACGGGUGAGUAUCACGUGCGUGAUCCGCUCCCAACUUGGGUAUAAGCCUGGGAAACUGGGUCUAAUUACCGUUAGCACUGUAGGGUUGUGUCUGUGGUGGAACGCGAUUUUUUAGUGGUUCGGGAUGUGCUCGCGUCGUAUCAGCUUGUUGGUGGGGUAAUGGCCUAGCAAGGCGGCGAGGGGUAGCCGGCCUGAGCAGGUGAUCGGACACACUGCGCAGGAGAUUACGGCCAGCCGCCGACGGGAAGAAGGAGUGAGGAAUAGUACCCAAAGGGAGGAAGCCUGAGGGAGCGAUGCCGGGUGAGGGAUGAUGGACUCCGGGCGGUAACGAGCUAUCAGCAGGGAUGAAGGGGAAGUGACGGUAGUUGUAGAAGAAGCACCGGCUAACUACGUG